Molecule: long non-coding RNA, 3277 nt
Organism: Zonotrichia albicollis (white-throated sparrow)
Lineage: Eukaryota; Metazoa; Chordata; Aves; Passeriformes; Passerellidae
Source: RefSeq, a predicted model, not a curated record
UCAGGGGGACCUGAAAAAUGCUGGAACUUGAGCAGGACCAGGGGUUCUGAGGGGAGCCAGGGGCACUGAGGGUGACAGGAUUUGUCUGAAGGGAGCCUGCAGCUCGAGCCAGAUGUGCAAUCCUGACACAGAUCAGAGCACACACAGGUAAUGGUUGCAAAAACACACUUAGCUCCUUCUCAGUGUUACCACAACUCAACACCUCCCAAAAGUCCAGAGCCUUACUCAGACCAUGGCACGCUUUGCCUGGGACACAGCUGAAAUAUUCCAAACACAAUGCACAAGAAGCAUUCAUCUCUGGGAUAAAUCUCACUUAGUGAAGCUUUUGGAACCAGUACAGUCAUGUCUUGGUAACAUGAAGAAAAUCAACAAGAGAGCAGCCAGAUUCCCUUAAAAUGAUGUUUGGGAUACAAGUGGGCUUGUUGCCUUGCUCCUCCUGGAAGCAUCUCCUUUGGAGAGACUGAAUGUGGUAAAAUGUAAAAGGCUGCAGCACUUCCUGUGUUAAAAAAGCUGGUUUUUAAUGACCUGCUCUAUUACCAUCCCAGCAGACUGGGGUUUGUAUGUGCAGCUGGGAAUCUAUUUUUGUGCUCUGCAUGAGUAUUGGGGCAGGUUUCAGGGUUGGGACCUCAGAGAAGUAAAUCAAAACUAAAUCAAAACUCUGCUUAAGGACUCAAACUGUCUCCUGUGGAGCUUAAAGUCUCUUUUUAUUACUGGAAUGCUUUUUCACAGAACUGGAAGUUUAGUGUUUCUGAGGCUUUCCUAAGUGAGGGCAAGUUAUUACAGUAAAGGUAUAACCUUUAUUACUAUAUAAUAAAGGUUAUACCUAUAUAAUAUAUAGGUAUAGGUAUACACCUAUAUAUAUAUUAUAUAGGUAUAACCUAUAUCAUUCUUUAUUACAGUUUUUUAUACCACCCAGCUAACUUUGCUGAAUUCAUUGAUUAUUAUUUUCCCUGCUGAAACAGAUUCUGUAAUUAACAGUUUGUAUCUUUUCGUGCCAGGCUGGAGGGGGCUUGGAACAACCUGAACUAGUGGAAGGUGUCCCUGCUGGUGCCAAGGCCAGCUGAGGGAUGAUAUUUUCCUUACUGGGACACACGCCAUGUUUGUCUCCAGUACUUUUCUGGAAGAAACCAACAUUUUCUCGUUUAUCCGCGCAGAGGGGGCAGCGCUGAUGCCCCGUUCCGGCUGGAAUCCCGGGGCUGCCUGCCCUCCUGGCCCUGGCAGGGGCGCGGCAGUGCCAUUCGUGUCCCGCUGUCCCCGUCCUGCCCUUCCUGCAGCGCGCUGGGCGUGGGACGGGCGCCGAGAACGCCGUGGGAGCGCAGGAAGCGCCGAUCAGGGCCAGGCGAGCGGGGAUGGCCGGAGCCAGGACAUUCUGGGAAGCUCCCAAGGUUUGCAUCACACUUCUGCCACAGCUGACUUGGACCCUCUGGAGCUGGAAGCAAGGCUUGGUGCAGGCAGUGGCUCUGAAAAGCAUUCUGAGGAUUUCCAGUAACCAGGUGAUUGAAGCAGACUGAGCACCCUGACAGCAGGAAAGGCAGGUUAGUCUUCAGGAACCCCUACAAUUAUUUCACAGAACAAAUCCAAAUCCACAUUGUGAUUUGUCUGUACUGCAAAGUUCAUAUUUGGUUAUUGUAGGCACCACUCCUGGGACUUAAAAAUCAACCAGGAUUGCAUUUUAGUCUGAGUAUUAGAUGGACAUGGAAUUAAAACAGAGCAACUAUGUGCAGUUCUUUAAGUAAUUAAUGUAUAUAAAAUCUCAUUUCCAUACUGAUGCGUGGUUUGGUUUCUCUCAUCUCACUUUGAUCAGUGAAUUACCUCACAAUAAUCUCGUUUUCUUGGUUGUGAUUAGCAAUAACUCCUCCUUUGUUCUGUUCUGCAUCACUGUGUGUUCCCAGAACUUCUGAGAAAAGGAUCUUUUUCCCUGGAUUAGUCACGGUGUUUGGACAAACAUGGCCUUGUUUCCUCAAGAAAUGUAUCAGCACCACUGUGUUUAUUUCUCCACAGCCUUAACCAGCAGGAGGAUGGGGGAGCCCAGCUGAACAUUUGGAUGUAAAAAUCUGGUGAAAUCUCAGCUUUUCCAAAGCUCAGUGUGGGCAGUGUGGUGCUUUUCAUGAGUGUGGAGUGCCUGGCCAGUGUUGAUCCUGUACAAGCUCCAAGGGAAGGAGGAGAACAAUGGAGGGGAGUGAGUGCUGAGGGCAUUUCCAGCACAAUGAUGGGAAAUGCUCCAUCAGCACAGAGCCCUUCUUUCUCCCUGCCCUGCUGGAUCCUCUGGCUCCAGAGCCUCUGCCCCAGGGAAUGGUGACCAUGGAAAACUCCUGGAUUGCAGGGACACCGUUGGGAAGGCCCAGGGAACCUCAGGAUCCUUUCCUGCUGCUGAGGGACUUACACUGAUUCCAACAGCUCCAAAGGUCAGAGAUUUAUUGUUAAUGAAUUGUUUUUCCAGCCUUCUUAACUCUAAUGAUCAGCUUUCCAUAUUUGUGGUGAUGGCAGGGUUUCAGAGGUACCUCAUUUAUACCCGAAUUUGAUUCAGGUUUGAUUUGCCAUUUCUUAGCCAGACUCUUCAAAGGGAGGGGAGUGGUGUUAAUAUUUCACAUGGCUGGGGAGGAAAUGCCUGGCACUCCCAGGGGAAGAGUCACAGCACCUGUGCUGAACUCACCCCGAUUUUUGGCAGGAAUGAUCUCAUUGCUCAUUGUGAGUGGAACAGAAAACAAUUCUGACACAGAGCAAGAGAAGCCUGGCUCAGGAGGUGCCAUCACUGCAGUCUGAGAAGGUUUCAGUGAGCUGGAAGAGAAAUAGGUUGUGUGUUCAAAGAAAUGUCAGGGGGUAGAAGAUCAAUACCAAAAUCAAACCAAAUCAAUUCUUCCUUCUUUUAUUUUUGCUGUGUUUCCAUCUUUCCAUUUGCUGUGUUUCCUUUCCAAAGCAAGGAAGGGGCAGGAGUUUAGGAGAGUCUGGUUCAGGUCAGUCUUGCUCAUAAAGCAAUUUGGGUUCCCUGAUCAAUUUAUUUAAUUAACUAAAAAUGCAGAAUUUGAGAAGCUGUUGGAUAGUUGUGCAUUUUUCUGCAGUUGGCUGCAGGAGACUUUUCUCAGACUAUUGCCUGAAGGUUGGGGGUGUCCAGCCUGGAGAAAGAAAAAGAUCUGGGGAGAUUUAAUUGGGAAUUCCAGGACCUAAAGGGAUUUAACUGGAGCCUUCCAAGACCUAAAGGGAGCCUGAAAGAGCUGGAGAGGGACCUUGGACAGGGACCUGGAGUGCCAGAACAAGGGGGAAUGGCUUUAAACUAACA